This 447-nucleotide ribosomal RNA is filed under the name uncultured bacterium. RNAcentral describes it as "partial 16S ribosomal RNA". It matches the Rfam family "Bacterial small subunit ribosomal RNA", at positions 29 to 523 of the family's 1533-position model. The record is from RNAcentral.
AACGAACGCUGGCGGCAGGCUUAACACAUGCAAGUCGAACGCCCCGCAAGGGGAGUGGCAGACGGGUGAGUAACGCGUGGGAAUCUACCCAGAACUGCGGAACAACUGAGGGAAACUUCAGCUAAUACCGGAUACGCCCUACGGGGGAAAGAUUUAUCGGUGUUGGAUGAGCCCGCGUUGGAUUAGCUAGUUGGUGAGGUAAUGGCUCACCAAGGCGACGAUCCAUAGCUGGUCUGAGAGGAUGAUCAGCCACACUGGGACUGAGACACGGCCCAGACUCCUACGGGAGGCAGCAGUGGGGAAUAUUGGACAAUGGGCGAAAGCCUGAUCCAGCCAUGCCGCGUGAGUGAUGAAGGCCUUAGGGUUGUAAAGCUCUUUCAGUGGGGAAGAUAAUGACGGUACCCACAGAAGAAGCCCCGGCUAACUUCGUGCCAGCCGCCGCAGUAA